Molecule: non-coding RNA, 390 nt
Organism: Erpetoichthys calabaricus (reedfish)
Lineage: Eukaryota; Metazoa; Chordata; Cladistia; Polypteriformes; Polypteridae
Source: the annotation of a RefSeq genome assembly
UUAAAUUGCUCAACCUGAACUAUGAGCACAGUGACAUUUCUUACAUUGGCUCUUGUCCUCUGGACCGAGGGGUCCAGUGGGGACAUUGUGGUCACUCAGUCUCCAGCCAUUCUGUCUGCCAUUCCUGGGAGCACCGUGACCUUCUCGUGUAAGGCAGAUGCUAAGAUAGAUGAUGACAUGUGCUUAUAUCACAAAGCGCUUGGACAAACAUACAAGGCUUUGUUUAUUGACAGCUCCAGGCAAAGUGGGGUGUCUGACCGAUUUUCAGUCUCUGGAUAUGACCUUAAUUUUACCUUCAAAAUCACAAAUGUUCAACCGGAGGAUGCAGGCUUUUACUACUGCAUGCAAAGUGAGGCUACUCCUCUCACACAGUGAUAAAGAGUCGUACAA